AGCGAACGCUGGCGGCAGGCCUAACACAUGCAAGUCGAACGGCCCCUUCGGGGUUAGUGGCGGUCGCGUGUGUCACACGUCGGAAGGUUCCUUUAUGUUCGGGAUACCUCAGGGAAACUUGUGCUAACACCGAGUGUGCCCUUCGGGGGAAAGUUUCAUCGCCUUUAGGGCGGCCGGCGUUUGAUUAGCUAGUUGGUUGAGGUUAUGGCCCAGCAAGGCGACGAUCAGUAGCGGGUCUGAGACGAUGAUCAGCCACAUCGGGACUGAGACACGGCCGAAUCUCCUACGAGGGGCAGCAGUGGGAGAUCUUGCGAAAGGGGCGAAAGCGAGGGGCAGCCGUGCCGAGUGAAUGAUGGAGGUGUGAGGAUUGUAAAAUUCUUACACCGGGGGCGUUUGUCGCGAUACCAGGAAUAAGAACCGGCUAAAUCCGCG
RNAcentral lists this ribosomal RNA (432 nucleotides) under uncultured bacterium. Its description in RNAcentral is "partial 16S ribosomal RNA". It matches the Rfam family "Bacterial small subunit ribosomal RNA", at positions 29 to 507 of the family's 1533-position model. The record is from RNAcentral.